UGGGGAAUUUUGGACAAUGGACGCAAGUCUGAUCCAGCCAUGCCGCGUGCGGGCAGAAGGCCUUCGGGUUGUAAACCGCUUUUGUCAGGGAAGAAACGAGUUUCUCUAAUACAGAGACUUAAUGACGGUACCUGAAGAAUAAGCACCGGCUAACUACGUGCCAGCAGCCGCGGUAAUACGUAGGGUGCAAGCGUUAAUCGGAAUUACUGGGCGUAAAGCGUGCGCAGGCGGUUAUGCAAUACAGAUGUGAAAUCCCCGGGCUCAACCUGGGAACUGCCUUUGUGACUGCAUAGCUAGAGUACGGUAGAGGGGGAUGGAAUUCCGCGUGUAGCAGUGAAAUGCGUAGAUAUGCGGAGGAACACCGAUGGCGAAGGCAAUCCCCUGGACCUGUACUGACGCUCAUGCACGUAAGCGUGGGGAGCAAACA
This 427-nucleotide ribosomal RNA is filed under the name uncultured bacterium. RNAcentral describes it as "bacterial SSU rRNA". It matches the Rfam family "Bacterial small subunit ribosomal RNA", at positions 355 to 774 of the family's 1533-position model. The record is from RNAcentral.